This 465-nucleotide ribosomal RNA is filed under the name uncultured bacterium. RNAcentral's name for it is "partial 16S ribosomal RNA". It matches the Rfam family "Bacterial small subunit ribosomal RNA", at positions 338 to 795 of the family's 1533-position model. The record is from RNAcentral.
CCUACGGGUGGCAGCAGUGGGGAAUAUUGCGCAAUGGGCGAAAGCCUGACGCAGCGACGCCGCGUGAGGGAUGAAGGUCUUCGGAUCGUAAACCUCUGUCAGCAGGGAAGAACGGUCACUGUGCUAAUCAGCAGUGAAUUGACGGUACCUUCAAAGGAAGCACCGGCUAACUCCGUGCCAGCAGCCGCGGUAAUACGGAGGGUGCGAGCGUUAAUCGGAAUUACUGGGCGUAAAGCGCUCGUAGGCGGUAUGUCAAGUCAAGGGUGAAAUCCCCGCGCUCAACGUGGGGAAUGCCUUUGAAACUGGUAAACUGGAGUGUGGGAGAGGAUAGUGGAAUUCCAGGUGUAGGAGUGAAAUGCGUAGAUAUCUGGAGGAACAUCAGUGGCGAAGGCGACUAUCUGGCACAUAACUGACGCUGAGGAGCGAAAGCGUGGGUAGCAAACAGGAUUAGAUACCCUUGUAGUC